UAUAUCCACAAUUGCAGUUCAUAUACCAGAAGAGUUCUGUCCUUCAUAGCUCACUUAUCUUUGGUGUGUACUUGCAAUCCCAUAAUAUACUAGUAAUUGCUAAUGAGACAUUGACAAAUGAUGUAUCUUAAGUGAGAUGCAUUCUCAUUAUUUGACAUUUCACUUUCUUAUCCUAUUAUGUAGGUAUGUUCCAUCCAAAGUUGGGUUGUUUUUGCAAUUUUAAACGGCUAAACUGUUUGAAAGAGUUUUCUUUGUUAAAGGAACUUUUCUAUGAUUUGAAAACUUUUGUAAUUUAGUGUAGUGAAUUCUCUCAUCUGCUGUGUCAUCAACCACUACAUUUUGAGAAAAAUCUGAUGCUUCCUUUUAGAGUCAAAAUCAUGAGAAUAUGUUGCUAGUGCAUCGUGGUGUAUGUUACUAUAAGUUUGCUCAAGAUUAGACUAUUUUGGUUGAGUAUUUUUCUGCUGAUAUAACACUAGCCUCUGACUUUUAUUUUAUCUGAUUAGGAAAAGCUGAAUGUCUUCUUGAACCUGGCAACCCUUAGAACCAUAGCAACCAUCUAGCUAUCCAGUUUACCGAUCCAAUUUAUUGUAGUCGUUCUUGAUUCAGUGUACGUGCAAACAAAGGUUUUACCCCUCAAAACAAUAAAGAGAAAGAUCCCACAUUGGAUCUCACUCGCGAGAAUAGUAGUGUUGCUGAGGAGCUGUUAGUGGGAGUGGUGUCUACAAGAAAGCAAAAAUCAACACUAGAUAAAUUAUGGUAACUUUGCAUGCUCUCUUUUGCUGCAGGGUGCCAUUCUGAUUAAUAUUGCUCGAGGUGGUCUCUUGGACUAUGACGCUGUUUUUAAUCAUCUCAAAUCGGGACAUUUGGGCGGUUUAGGAAUUGAUGUUGCUUGGGCUGAACCAUUUGAUCCUGAUGAUGCUAUCCUUAAAUUUCCAGAGGUUAUAAUCACACCCCACAUUGCUGGUGUUACAGAAAAGUCCUAUAGAUACAUGGCCAAGGUUGUCGGGGACGUUGCUCUUCAACUACAUGCAGGAGAACGUUUUACAGGAAUAGAGAUUGUCAAUUGAAGCAAGCAGUAACUGUCAAUAUGAUGAAGAAACAUUCGUGUGUCCUAAUAAAUUAUUUAUGUGAUAUGCAUUGAAUAAUAAUGAGGAGAUUGUUAUAUUUUUUGUGUCUGAGAAAUCAGUCAGGGGCCAACCCUUGCAACCUUUGACAGUUUCUUAACCUUUGCUGCUUCAUGUAAAUAUUAGUAACUAAUACCGCCAACAAAACGCUACAUUAGUUAUGCGGCACUUAAUUUUUUUGUUAUGUGACCAACCAAACACUUUAUUAUGUUAUGGAAAAUUUUAUGUUGGGAUUAA
Nicotiana tabacum (common tobacco) is the source of this 1361-nucleotide non-coding RNA. NCBI's taxonomy places the organism in Eukaryota, Viridiplantae, Streptophyta, Magnoliopsida, Solanales, Solanaceae. The record is from RefSeq and is a predicted model, not a curated record.